RNAcentral lists this long non-coding RNA (224 nucleotides) under Mytilus galloprovincialis (Mediterranean mussel). The record is from RNAcentral. Lineage: Eukaryota; Metazoa; Mollusca; Bivalvia; Mytilida; Mytilidae.
AGUGGGCCUUUUUUAAAUCCGAAAAUCUGACAAACUUUCCAAAACAUGACAAGCGAACAUUGAUGAUGUUUAUACAAUCCGUUGAACCUAUUGAGAAUAGCGACAACGCGUGAAUGAUUAUGUUGUUAUUAUUACAAAGUAUUACAAUAUACAUAGCUACAUGUAUGGCAUUUAAAUAACAAUGUGUUUAAAGUGAAUAUAAAUAAUAAUGUUCAAAAGCAACA